UACGAAGGGGGCGAGCGUUGUUCGGAUUUACUGGGCGUAAAGGGCGCGUAGGCGGCCUUGUCAGUCAGGCGUGAAAGCCCCGGGCUCAACCUGGGAACGGCACUUGGGACGGCGAGGCUGGAGUUCGGGAGAGGAGAGUGGAAUUCCCAGUGUAGAGGUGAAAUUCGUAGAUAUUGGGAAGAACACCGGUGGCGAAGGCGGCUCUCUGGACCGACACUGACGCUGAGGCGCGAAAGCGUGGGGAGCAAACAGG
RNAcentral lists this ribosomal RNA (253 nucleotides) under uncultured bacterium. RNAcentral's name for it is "partial 16S ribosomal RNA". It matches the Rfam family "Bacterial small subunit ribosomal RNA", at positions 524 to 776 of the family's 1533-position model. The record is from RNAcentral.